UACAGAGGGUGCAAGCGUUGCUCGGAAUCAUUGGGCGUAAAGGGUAGGUAGGUGGUCUCAUUUGUGUGGGGUGAAAGCCUUGGGCUUAACUCAAGAAGUGCCCCGCAAACGGUGAGACUGGAGUCCUAGAGAGGCUAGCGGAAUUCCCGGUGUAGCGGUGAAAUGCGUAGAGAUCGGGAGGAACACCAGAGGCGAAGGCGGCUAGCUGGAUAGGCACUGACACUGAACUACGAAAGCGUGGGGAGCAAACAGG
Molecule: ribosomal RNA, 253 nt
Filed under: uncultured bacterium
Lineage: Bacteria
Description: partial 16S ribosomal RNA
Rfam family: Bacterial small subunit ribosomal RNA
Source: RNAcentral